GAUGAACGCUGGCGGCGUGCCUAAUACAUGCAAGUCGAGCGGACGGACGAGAAGCUUGCUUCUCUGAUGUUAGCGGCGGACGGGUGAGUAACACGUGGAUAACCUACCUAUAAGACUGGGAUAACUUCGGGAAACCGGAGCUAAUACCGGAUAAUAUUUUGAACCGCAUGGUUCAAAAGUGAAAGACGGUCUUGCUGUCACUUAUAGAUGGAUCCGCGCUGCAUUAGCUAGUUGGUAAGGUAACGGCUUACCAAGGCAACGAUGCAUAGCCGACCUGAGAGGGUGAUCGGCCACACUGGAACUGAGACACGGUCCAGACUCCUACGGGAGGCAGUAGUAGGGAAUCUUCCGCAAUGGGCGAAAGCCUGACGGAGCAACGCCGCGUGAGUGAUGAAGGUCUUCGGAUCGUAAAACUCUGUUAUUAGGGAAGAACAUAUGUGUAAGUAACUGUGCACAUCUUGACGGUACCUAAUCAGAAAGCCACGGCUAACUACGUG
Molecule: ribosomal RNA, 497 nt
Filed under: uncultured bacterium
Lineage: Bacteria
Description: partial 16S ribosomal RNA
Rfam family: Bacterial small subunit ribosomal RNA
Source: RNAcentral